UGAGGAAUAUUGCACAAUGGGGGCAACCCUGAUGCAGCAACGCCGCGUGGAGGAUGAAGGCUUUUGAGUUGUAAACUCCUUUUCUGAGGGAAGAGCAAGGACGGUACCUCAGGAAUAAGGCCCGGCUAACUACGUGCCAGCAGCCGCGGUAAUACGUAGGGGUCAAGCGUUAUCCGGAAUUACUGGGCGUAAAGCGCGCGCAGGCGGCUUGUCAAGUCCGAUGUGAAAGCUCCCGGCUUAACUGGGAGAGGUCGUUGGAUACUGGUAGGCUUGAGGCAGUGAGAGGGAUGCAGAAUUCCUGGUGUAGUGGUGGAAUGCGUAGAUAUCAGGAGGAAUACCAGUGGCGAAAGCGGCAUCCUGGCACUGUUCUGACGCUCAUGUGCGAAAGCGUGGGGAGCGAACGGGAUUAGAUACCCGUGUAGUCC
RNAcentral lists this ribosomal RNA (425 nucleotides) under uncultured prokaryote. Its description in RNAcentral is "bacterial SSU rRNA". It matches the Rfam family "Bacterial small subunit ribosomal RNA", at positions 355 to 796 of the family's 1533-position model. The record is from RNAcentral.